Molecule: ribosomal RNA, 277 nt
Filed under: uncultured bacterium
Lineage: Bacteria
Description: partial 16S ribosomal RNA
Rfam family: Bacterial small subunit ribosomal RNA
Source: RNAcentral
AGCGAACGCUGGCGGCAGGCCUAACACAUGCAAGUCGAACGCUCGUAGCAAUACGGGAGUGGCAGACGGGUGAGUAACGCGUGGGAACGUACCCUUUGGUUCGGGAUAACCCAGGGAAACUUGGGCUAAUACCGGAUACGUCCUGCAAGGGAGAAAGAUUGAUUUGCCGAAGGAUCGGCCCGCGUCCGAUUAGCUAGUUGGUGGGGUAAUGGCUCACCAAGGCGACGAUCGGUAGCUGGUCUGAGAGGAUGAUCAGCCACACUGGGACUGAGACACG